AUUGAACGCUGGCGGCAUGCUUUACACAUGCAAGUCGAACGGUAACAGGCCUUCGGGUGCUGACGAGUGGCGAACGGGUGAGUAAUGCAUCGGAACGUGCCCAGAGGUGGGGGAUAACGCAGCGAAAGCUGUGCUAAUACCGCAUGUGAUCUGAGGAUGAAAGCGGGGGACCAGGCAGCAAUGUUUGGCCUCGCGCCUUUGGAGCGGCCGAUGUCAGAUUAGGUAGUUGGUGGGGUAAAGGCCUACCAAGCCGACGAUCUGUAGCUGGUCUGAGAGGACGACCCGCCACACUGGGACUGAGACACGGCCCAGACUCCUACGGGAGGCAGCAGUGGGGAAUUUUGGACAAUGGGCGCAAGCCUGAUCCAGCAAUGCCGCGUGCGGGAAGAAGGCCUUCGGGUUGUAAACCGCUUUUGUACGGAACGAAAAGGCUCUGGCUAAUACCUGGGGCUGAUGACGGUACCGUAAGAAUAAGCACCGGCUAACUACGUG
Molecule: ribosomal RNA, 492 nt
Filed under: uncultured bacterium
Lineage: Bacteria
Description: partial 16S ribosomal RNA
Rfam family: Bacterial small subunit ribosomal RNA
Source: RNAcentral